CGGUGAAAGUUUGCAGCUUAACUGUAAAAUUGCCGUUGAUACUGGUAUUCUUGAGUGUAUAUGAAGUAGGCGGAAUUUGUGGUGUAGCGGUGAAAUGCAUAGAUAUCACAAGGAACUCCAAUUGCGAAGGCAGCUUACUAAAAUACAACUGACGCUCAGGCACGAAGGCGUGGGUAUCAAACAGGAUUAGAUACCCUGGUAGUCCACGCAGUAAACAAUGAUUACUCGCUGUUUGCGAUACACAGUAAGCGGCUUAGCGAAAGCGUUAAGUAAUCCACCUGGGGAGUACGUUCGCAAGAAUGAAACUCAAAGGAAUUGACGGGGGCCCGCACAAGCGGAGGAACAUGUGGUUUAAUUCGAUGAUACGCGAGGAACCUUACCCGGGCUUGAAAUACAUUUGACCGGCUCAGAGACGAGCCUUCCCUUCGGGGCAAAUGUGUAGGUGCUGCAUGGUUGUCGUCAGCUCGUGCCGUGAGGUGUCGGCUUAAGUGCCAUAACGAGCGCAACCCUCAUCAUUAGUUACUAACAGGUUAAGCUGAGGACUCUAAUGAGACUGCCAUCGUAAGAUGCGAGGAAGGUGGGGAUGACGUCAAAUCAGCACGGCCCUUAUGUCCGGGGCGACACACGUGUUACAAUGGAUGGUACAACAGGCAGCUACUUGGCGACAAGAUGCUAAUCCCAAAAACCAUUCUCAGUUCGGAUCGAAGUCUGCAACUCGACUUCGUGAAGCUGGAUUCGCUAGUAAUCGCGCAUCAGCCACGGCGCGGUGAAUACGUUCCCGGGCCUUGUACACACCGCCCAAGGG
Molecule: ribosomal RNA, 805 nt
Filed under: uncultured bacterium
Lineage: Bacteria
Description: bacterial SSU rRNA
Rfam family: Bacterial small subunit ribosomal RNA
Source: RNAcentral